Non-coding RNA from Vicia faba (fava bean), 324 nucleotides. The record is from the annotation of a GenBank genome assembly. NCBI's taxonomy places the organism in Eukaryota, Viridiplantae, Streptophyta, Magnoliopsida, Fabales, Fabaceae.
AUGCCUUCUUCUAGUAUUCAAUCCCACACAUUUCAGACUUUAGUGUGUGGAGGAUUAGCCGGAUCUACUGCUGCUUUAUUCACAACUCCAUUUGAUGUCAUCAAGACAAGAUUACAGACACAGAUUCCGGGAUCAAGAAAUCAAUAUGGUAGCGUGUUUCGUGCCCUUUACAAAAUUAGCAAUACAGAAGGUUUGAAUGGCUUAUACAGGGGGUUGACACCGAGGUUGAUUAUGUACAUGUCUCAAGGAUCAUUGUUCUUUACUUCGUAUGAAUUUUUCAAAAGUGUAUUUUCUCUGGAAUCACCACUUCCCACUGGUUUAUAA